Long non-coding RNA from Trachymyrmex cornetzi, 141 nucleotides. RefSeq lists it as uncharacterized. The transcript has 3 exons. NCBI's taxonomy places the organism in Eukaryota, Metazoa, Arthropoda, Insecta, Hymenoptera, Formicidae. The record is from RefSeq and is a predicted model, not a curated record.
UAGUUAUAUAACAUUAUAUAUGGAAGAUGGGUAAUUGUGCGCAUUUUAAAAUACUUGCGCACAGUUGUCCGCCGCGACCUGACUCGGUACGAAAUACGAUUACUUCAACAAUUCCUAACCAAACUUAAUAAAUAACAGCUC